GGGCAUGCUAGGCCUCGAUGGAAUGUUGUUUACCUAAUGUGCGCGCCGUCCGCUGGGCUAGCGGACGUAAAUCUAUGAGCCCAAGAAGUUUACGUGCAAACUUUUCUCAGCGCGUGAAGGCGGCAUUCGCUUCGGUGUUUGCUCCUUCGUUCGCGCCCGCUAUCGCCUAAAUCCGAUAGCCACCGCCACCCGCGAGCCGCUGCGCUGGCUGGCGGUGCAAGACCAGACGGCUUGAGGGCGAAAGUUUUGAGACGCUUUUGCUCUGACCUGCACUGUCUCACGCUGACGUGAAGGCUCUGCUGUUCUGCAGCUUCGCGUAGGCGUACCAAUCAGAGCGGCUACGCGCGUAGAGCAUUGGUUAGACACGGUCCACACGUGGGUUCAAUUCCCACCAUGUCCACCA
RNAcentral lists this transfer-messenger RNA (403 nucleotides) under Candidatus Anderseniibacteriota bacterium. It matches the Rfam family "transfer-messenger RNA". From Rfam's summary of the family: Bacterial tmRNA, also known as 10Sa RNA or SsrA, is named for its dual tRNA and mRNA-like properties. The record is from RNAcentral. Lineage: Bacteria; Candidatus Anderseniibacteriota.